Molecule: long non-coding RNA, 402 nt
Organism: Oncorhynchus kisutch (coho salmon)
Lineage: Eukaryota; Metazoa; Chordata; Actinopteri; Salmoniformes; Salmonidae
Exons: 3
Source: RefSeq, a predicted model, not a curated record
UUCUCUCUGAAAGUUAUUUAAUAUCCUGGUUGAUCAAGAACAGUAACCGUGGCCUUUUGAAAUGAGAACGUCGAGGAUAGACUUAUACAGCAUAUGGAGACGAACUUCCAUUUCAAUUCUCACUGAUAUAAAGGAUGACCUCCACUCUUUGUGAGACAUGCAGUGGAAUCAUGUGAUUCGUUUUUCCUAUAUGCAAGGUGGAUAUAAAUUAGAUUUGUGACCUGUCUUGUAGUGCAUUGUGGUUAUCAUGGAGGGGACUCUAUCUGUCCUCACUUUCAAGAAUGUCACAAACUCCCUCUCUGGCCUGCUGAUUAUCCCGCACACCUGUCACCAUCGUCUUGCGCACCUGCGCCUCAUGACACUCACCUGGACUCCAUCACCUCCUUGAUUAUCUUCCCUAUA